UCCCUGGUGGCUCAGAUGGUAAAGCAUCUGCCUACAAUGCAGGAGAUCCAGGUUCAAUCCCUGGGUCGGGAA
This 72-nucleotide transfer RNA is filed under the name Bos taurus (domestic cattle). It matches the Rfam family "tRNA". From Rfam's summary of the family: Transfer RNA (tRNA) molecules are approximately 80 nucleotides in length. Their secondary structure includes four short double-helical elements and three loops (D, anti-codon, and T loops). RNAcentral also lists the same sequence under 3 other names. The record is from Rfam by way of RNAcentral. Lineage: Eukaryota; Metazoa; Chordata; Mammalia; Artiodactyla; Bovidae.